Chelonoidis abingdonii (Abingdon island giant tortoise) is the source of this 1954-nucleotide long non-coding RNA. RefSeq lists it as uncharacterized. Lineage: Eukaryota; Metazoa; Chordata; Testudines; Testudinidae. The record is from RefSeq and is a predicted model, not a curated record.
CUGCCACUAACUAGUUGUCUGACUGAUGGUUAAGCAUGUUAUCCAGCUUCACCAUGCUUCAGUUUCCACACCUGCAAAACAGGGAGAACACACACCUCUCUCGCAGGGUGUAAGACUUAACUAGCAUUUGUGAAGCUCUCAGCUUUUCAGAUGAAAGCUGUCAGAGAAGUGUGAAGUGUUUGGUGCACCCUGAGGAAGGGGAAUAAAAAGCAUUUUCCCUCUCUCCAAAACUGAACAGCCACCUAUUUAUUUUGAAACAACUUUUAAAAUAAGUCCCAAUCUUUAAAGUCUGCCCCAAACAAUCUAGAAAACCUGGUCUGAUGAAGCAUAGACAUCUAUGAAUUCUCAGUCAGAAAAAUCCAGACAUUUGUUUUUCACCCAGGCAACCUAUUCCCAUCUUGUCACAACAACAAAUACAAAAGGAAGCUUUCUAAAAAGUUAUCUUGAUUAAAAUGUAAACUAUACAAAUGAGCAAGUACAGGCAGGAGAGUGAUAAUGAAGUCUGCAAUUGACAAGCCCUUCGCUGCCAAAGUACUGCUGUUUCAUUAUCACCUAUUACAUCUGACAAUCUUGCACAUCUCUUUCCUCCCUUCCAAUGUGAAGUAUUUUAAUCUUUGGGAGCUUCCAACACAAAUACCCCAGUAAGGGUCUAUUCCUGCAAGUCAAACCUGAAUGCACAAUUUAGAUUGAUAUAUGGUCCAUCUAACUGGCCUUAAGAUUGGCAGAAGUGAUUAAAAGCAGAGGGAAGGAACACAAAACUAUUAACACACUGUCAGCACAGCAGGUCACACGGUUAAGCAUGGCCUGACUUCUUUUGUUUCCUCAUUUUGCAUGUGUAUUUGCUUUUAAAAAAAGGGGGCGGAAGGAGGGAAGAAGAGUGUUCAAUUCUACAGCUAAUGGGGAACAGCUGACAGGCCAACUGGAGUCUCACUGUUGGUAAACUGCACACCUGUAAUAGGUGCCAAUUGACUAAAAGGCAACUAGUGUCUAUUAGUCUUUAGCCCCGUACACUCUUAUUACUGCGUAUUUGACUGUGGCAGCAGCUAGAAACUGUCAGGAUCCCAUUGUUGUGUGUACAAAAUCUAGCAUAAAGAGAUGGCCCAGUCCCAAAGAGCUUACAGUUGAAGAAAUCCUGAAACUAGCAUAAGCGCCUCCCAUUCUCCAGCCAGCCCUCCACUGGUUUUGUGCCCCACUCCUCCAACUGCUAUUUCUUUGGUUUUCCUAAAAGAGGGAGGAUGAUCCAGUCAUUUAGAUUCAAUUCUCUGCUGUCUCUCUGACUUUCUGUGAGACUGUGACACCUGUACCCCGUGUUCACCACUUGUAUAUGGCUAGGAUAUCUUUUGUGAGAUGUGAAACAAACACGGCAUGUAAAAUUAUGAAAUUUUGCAAUACGAUUGUUACCCAGAACCAUAAAACGUUUCAGUAACAUCCACAAACCAAUUUCUCAGAGACAAAGACACCCUAGCAUGCCAGCAAAGUGCUAAGGAGCCAAUACCAGCUUAAUCGGACAUUCUCCAGUGGUGGUGGUGGAGCUGUAAACAAGAAAUUCACAAUUCAUCUGAAGGACAGUUUGGAGCUCAGAUAUACAAUGGAACUGCCUGGCCCCAUGACUCAGCAAGAAUUUUUUUCGUACAAAGGGUUGGGGGUAUAAGAAGGGGAGAAAAGUGUCCCUAGCCUCCCUUUCCACCUCUCUGCUGACAAGAGCAAUGACUCUGAAAGAAUCUGAAAGAACUGAAUGAAGCGGGGGAGUGGUCCCAGGCCAACCUGUGAAAUGUAUUGCAGCACAUAGUGAGACAAAUAUUUUCCUUUUAAGACUAUUAGCCUUAGUAAAGUUUAAGAAUUAACUUGUGUGUUUAUCCUUUAUUUCUUUUGUAACUAAUUCUGACUUCUAGGCCUUAUCACUUGUCAUCUAUCUUCCUCUAGUUAAUAAACUUGUUUUACUGUUUUAUUUAAA